RNAcentral lists this ribosomal RNA (257 nucleotides) under uncultured bacterium. RNAcentral describes it as "partial 16S ribosomal RNA". It matches the Rfam family "Bacterial small subunit ribosomal RNA", at positions 524 to 777 of the family's 1533-position model. The record is from RNAcentral.
UACGAAGGGGCUAGCGUUGUUCGGAAUUACUGGGCGUAAAGGGCGCGUAGGCUGUGCUGUAAGUCAGGCGUGAAAGCCCCGGGCUCAACCUGGGAAUUGCGCUUGAUACUGCGGCGCUGGAAGGUGGGAGAGGAUGGGCGGAAUUCCCAGUGUAGAGGUGAAAUUCGUAGAUAUUGGGAAGAACACCGGUGGCGAAGGCGGCCAUCUGGCCCACAUUUGACGCUGAGGCGCGGAAAAGCGUGGGGGAGCAAACAGGG